Molecule: ribosomal RNA, 471 nt
Filed under: Salmonella enterica
Lineage: Bacteria; Pseudomonadati; Pseudomonadota; Gammaproteobacteria; Enterobacterales; Enterobacteriaceae
Description: partial 23S ribosomal RNA
Rfam family: Bacterial large subunit ribosomal RNA
Source: RNAcentral
GUGAUCUAGCCAUGGGCAGGUUGAAGGUUGGGUAACACUAACUGGAGGACCGAACCGACUAAUGUUGAAAAAUUAGCGGAUGACCUGUGGCUGGGGGUGAAAGGCCAAUCAAACCGGGAGAUAGCUGGUUCUCCCCGAAAGCUAUUUAGGUAGCGCCUCGUGAAUUCAUCUCCGGGGGUAGAGCACUGUUUCGGCUAGGGGGCCAUCCCGGCUUACCAACCCGAUGCAAACUGCGAAUACCGGAGAAUGUUAUCACGGGAGACACACGGCGGGUGCUAACGUCCGUCGUGAAGAGGGAAACAACCCAGACCGCCAGCUAAGGUCCCAAAGUCAUGGUUAAGUGGGAAACGAUGUGGGAAGGCCCAGACAGCCAGGAUGUUGGCUUAGAAGCAGCCAUCAUUUAAAGAAAGCGUAAUAGCUCACUGGUCGAGUCGGCCUGCGCGGAAGAUGUAACGGGGCUAAACCAUGCAC